Molecule: non-coding RNA, 291 nt
Organism: Phascolarctos cinereus (koala)
Lineage: Eukaryota; Metazoa; Chordata; Mammalia; Diprotodontia; Phascolarctidae
Source: RefSeq, a predicted model, not a curated record
AGGCUUUGCUUGGUGAAUUUGUGUUUGAAACAUAAGGUUUAUACUUUGCAUUAAAAAUGCAAUAAAUAAAGCCUUGAACAGUCAGACUUUCUAUUGAGGACAAAAUGCUCAAACGAUCCUAACAGACUCAGCCUUUCUCAGGGGUAUCUGAGGAACUCCCCCAAGACCUCUACUCUUUCCGAAGUGCAGCAGAAAUGAAAAUCUUUCUUCAUGCAGCCACAAACGAAUGGCCCCAUCCUGACCCAGCCAAGAAUAUUUCCAAGAGAGCAGUUGGGAAAGUAAUAUAUCAAG